Triticum aestivum (bread wheat) is the source of this 133-nucleotide non-coding RNA. Lineage: Eukaryota; Viridiplantae; Streptophyta; Magnoliopsida; Poales; Poaceae. The record is from Rfam.
AAGCUAGUCCCUCCGUCCGAAAAUACUUGUCAUCAAAAUGGAGAAAAAAAAUGUAUGUAGAACUAAAAUAUAUCUAGAUACACUCAUUUUAUUCAUUUUGAUGACAAGUAUUUUCGGACGAAGGGAGUAUGUA